RNAcentral lists this ribosomal RNA (254 nucleotides) under uncultured bacterium. RNAcentral's name for it is "partial 16S ribosomal RNA". It matches the Rfam family "Bacterial small subunit ribosomal RNA", at positions 524 to 776 of the family's 1533-position model. The record is from RNAcentral.
UACGGGGGGAGCAAGCGUUGUUCGGAUUUACUGGGCGUAAAGGGCGCGUAGGCGGUCAGCACAAGUCAGUUGUGAAAUCUCCGGGCUUAACUCGGAAAGGUCAACUGAUACUGUGCGACUAGAGUGCGGAAGGGGCAACUGGAAUUCUCGGUGUAGCGGUGAAAUGCGUAGAUAUCGAGAGGAACACCUGCGGCGAAGGCGGGUUGCUGGGCUGACACUGACGCUGAUGCGCGAAAGCUAGGGGAGCGAACGGG